ACCAUGCAAGUGGAGCGACGGACCAGGGCUUGCCCUGGGGCCAAGCCGCGAACGGGUGAGUAACACGUGGGUAACCCACCCCGUUGACCGGGACAACCCGAGGAAACUCGGGCUAAUACCGGAUGAGCCCUCCGGACUCCAGUCCGUCGGGGAAAGGUAGCUUCGGCUUCCGCUACGGGAAGGGCCCGCGGCCCAUUAUCUAGUUGGUGAGGUAACGGCUCACCAAGGCAACGAUGGGUAGCUGGUCUGAGAGGACGAUCAGCCACACUGGGACUGAGACACGGCCCAGACUCCUACGGGAGGCAGCAGUGGGGAAUCUUGCGCAAUGCGCGAAAGCGUGACGCAGCAACGCCGCGUGGGGGAAGACGGCCUUCGGGUUGUAAACCCCUUUCAGGAGGGACGAAGGUGUGGCAGUUAAUAGCUGUCCGCACUGACGGUACCUCCACAAGAAGCUCCGGCUAACUACGUGCCAGCAGCCGCGGUAAUACGUACGGAGCAAGCGUUGUCCGGAAUCAUUGGGCGUAAAGCGCGCGUAGGCGGCCCGGUAAGUCCGCUGUGAAAGUCCAGGGCUCAACCCUGGGAUGCCGGUGGAUACUGUCGGGCUAGAGUCCGGAAGAGGCGAGUGGAAUUCCUGGUGUAGCGGUGGAAUGCGCAGAUAUCAGGAGGAACACCUAUAGCGAAGGCAGCUCGCUGGGACGGAACUGACGCUAAGGCGCGAAAGCGUGCGGAGCGAACAGGAUUAGAUACCCUGGUAGUCCACGCCGUACACGAUGGGUACUAGGUGGUGGGGGGUGUCGACUCACGCCGUGACUGCCGAAACGCAUUAAGUACGCCGUCUGCCGAGGAAGGACGACCGGCUAGAUGUCAAUCGAAUUAACUG
RNAcentral lists this ribosomal RNA (880 nucleotides) under Thermoleophilaceae bacterium. Its description in RNAcentral is "bacterial SSU rRNA". It matches the Rfam family "Bacterial small subunit ribosomal RNA", at positions 53 to 916 of the family's 1533-position model. Lineage: Bacteria; Bacillati; Actinomycetota; Thermoleophilia; Thermoleophilales; Thermoleophilaceae. The record is from RNAcentral.